CCUACGGGGAGCAGCAGUGAGGAAUAUUGGUCAAUGGACGAGAGUCUGAACCAGCCAAGUAGCGUGAAGGAUGAAUGCCCUAUGGGUUGUAAACUUCUUUUAUAUGGGAAUAAAAUGUUCCACGUGUGGGAUUUAGUAUGUACCAUAUGAAUAAGGAUCGGCUAAAUCCGUGCCAGCAGCCGCGGUAAUACGGAGGAUCCGAGCGUUAUCCGGAUUUAUUGGGGUUAAAGGGAGCGUAGGGGGAUUGUUAAGUCAGUUGUGAAAGUUUGCGGCUCAAACGUAAAAUUGCAGUUGAAACUGGCAGUCUUGAGUACAGUAGAGGUGGGCGGAAUUCGUGGUGUAGCGGUGAAAUGCUUAGAUAUUACGAAGAACUCCGAUGGCGAAGGCAGCUCACUGGACUGCAACUGACACUGAGGCUCGAAAGUGUGGGUAGCAAACAGGAUUAGAUACCCGAGUAGUC
This 460-nucleotide ribosomal RNA is filed under the name uncultured bacterium. Its description in RNAcentral is "partial 16S ribosomal RNA". It matches the Rfam family "Bacterial small subunit ribosomal RNA", at positions 338 to 795 of the family's 1533-position model. The record is from RNAcentral.